AGUUGAGAAGCGAGAGUUUGUAUGAGAGUUUUCAUCAACUCUCAUGCAAACUCUCGCUUCUCAACUCU
Paramuricea clavata is the source of this 68-nucleotide non-coding RNA. The record is from the annotation of a GenBank genome assembly. NCBI's taxonomy places the organism in Eukaryota, Metazoa, Cnidaria, Anthozoa, Malacalcyonacea, Plexauridae.